GGAGAAUUGCUUGAACCUGGGAGAUGGAGGUUGCAGUGAGCUGAGAUCACACCACUGCACUCCAGCCUGGGCGAUAGAG
Molecule: microRNA precursor, 79 nt
Organism: Pan paniscus (pygmy chimpanzee)
Lineage: Eukaryota; Metazoa; Chordata; Mammalia; Primates; Hominidae
Source: Ensembl